This 217-nucleotide unclassified non-coding RNA is filed under the name plant metagenome. RNAcentral describes it as "partial contains small subunit ribosomal RNA, internal transcribed spacer 1, and 5.8S ribosomal RNA". The record is from RNAcentral.
UCUCCGUAGGUGAACCUGCGGAGGGAUCAUUACAAGUGACCCCGGUCUUACCACCGGGAUGUUCAUAACCCUUUGUUGUCCGACUCUGUUGCCUCCGGGGCGACCCUGCCUUCGGGCGGGGGCUCCGGGUGGACACUUCAAACUCUUGCGUAACUUUGCAGUCUGAGUAAACUUAAUUAAUAAAUUAAAACUUUUAACAACGGAUCUCUUGGUUCUU